GACGAACGCUGGCGGCGUGCUUAACACAUGCAAGUCGAGCGGAGCGGCGGACGGGUGAGUAACGCGUGAGUAACUGCCCCCCUCUCUGGGAUAACAGUUGGGAACGGCUGCUAAUACCGGAUAGUGGGGUAUGACUCGCGUCGUAUCAGCUUGUUGGUGGGGUAGUGGCCUACCAAGGCGACGACGGGUAGCCGGCCUGAGAGGGCGACCGGCCCCAUGGGGCUGAGAUACGGACCAAACUCCAACGGGAGGCAGCGGUGGGGAAUAUUGCACAACGGGGUAAAGGCUGAUGCAGUAACGCCGCGUGCGGGAUGACGGCCUUCGGGUUGAAAACCGCUUUCAGCCAUGACGCGGUAGUGGCAGAAGAAGCACCGGCUAACUACGUGCCAGCAGCCGCGGUAAUAC
This 405-nucleotide ribosomal RNA is filed under the name uncultured bacterium. RNAcentral's name for it is "partial 16S ribosomal RNA". It matches the Rfam family "Bacterial small subunit ribosomal RNA", at positions 28 to 526 of the family's 1533-position model. The record is from RNAcentral.